CAUUGCCACUUACAUAACCACCAGAUAGUUAUCCCAAACAUUAUGGGCCAAUUAGAAACAGAUUUACCAAAAUUUUGUCUCAGAUUUGAAAGAAACCAAUCUCUACUNNNNGAAAAAAAAACAUCCCAUUUGUCUUGGGACACCAAACCCAUCCAACCAAAUCUAGCACUAAAACGGUCUCGCAAAAAGUGAAGAACGUCUUCCACAACAUAACCACAGGCAAAGCAACUAGCAUCAACGGUCAAUCCCCGGGACUUGCGUUGUGCAUCGGUAAGAGUACGGCCUUAAGAUGCCAAACACAAGAACACUCUAAUCUUCUCAGGACCCUUCUAUGACCAAAUAAGGUCCCAUAUUCUGUCCACAGCAAUACAGCAAGUAGAUUCCAACAAGAGGAGAGAAGAUUGAAUAGAAAACCUACCAUCUUUAGAGGGAGACCACACCAACACGUCUCUGCUUACUUCUUGCUGCG
This 469-nucleotide unclassified non-coding RNA is filed under the name Hevea brasiliensis (rubber tree). The record is from RNAcentral. Lineage: Eukaryota; Viridiplantae; Streptophyta; Magnoliopsida; Malpighiales; Euphorbiaceae.